GUGCUCUCUUCGGCAGCAAAUACACUAAAAUUGGAACAAUACGAAGAGGAUUAACGUAGCCCUGCGCAAGGGUGACAGGCAAAUUCAUGAAGCGUUCCAUAUUGAA
Molecule: small nuclear RNA, 106 nt
Organism: Pteronotus mesoamericanus
Lineage: Eukaryota; Metazoa; Chordata; Mammalia; Chiroptera; Mormoopidae
Source: RefSeq, a predicted model, not a curated record